GAGAUCUGUGGCAAAAAGGAUCACUGAUGCUUUCUGGGGAUCUAUGAAAAGCGUGUCCCAUGCAAACACUGCUACAGGAAAGCCUGGCAUGGUUCCUAAACCUGAAAAACAAGUUGGUAAUGACAAAGCUGCUACAACUAAAAGCAGUAAUGCAGCUCUUAACCGCAAAAGUACCAUGUCGGAUGAAACUCGAGAAGCUUUACCAAAAGCCCUUCAAAAGCUUUUUCAAAAUCACAAGGUUUGCAGCUUUCA
This 252-nucleotide unclassified non-coding RNA is filed under the name Hevea brasiliensis (rubber tree). Lineage: Eukaryota; Viridiplantae; Streptophyta; Magnoliopsida; Malpighiales; Euphorbiaceae. The record is from RNAcentral.